AUACGAAGGGGGCUAGCGUUGUUCGGAAUUACUGGGCGUAAAGCGCGCGUAGGCGGAUUGGUCAGUUAGGGGUGAAAUCCCAGGGCUUAACCCUGGAACUGCCUCUAAUACUGCCAGUCUUGAGUUCGGGAGAGGUGAGUGGAAUUCCUAGUGUAGAGGUGAAAUUCGUAGAUAUUAGGAAGAACACCAGUGGCGAAGGCGGCUCACUGGCCCGAUACUGACGCUGAGGCGCGAAAGCGUGGGGAGCAAACAGGAUUAGAUACCCGCGUAGUCC
Molecule: ribosomal RNA, 274 nt
Filed under: uncultured bacterium
Lineage: Bacteria
Description: partial 16S ribosomal RNA
Rfam family: Bacterial small subunit ribosomal RNA
Source: RNAcentral